UACGGGGGGGGCAAGCGUUGUUCGGAAUUACUGGGCGUAAAGGGCUCGUAGGCGGCCAACUAAGUCAGACGUGAAAUCCCCAGGCUCAACCUGGGAACUGCGUCUGAUACUGGAUGGCUUGAAUCCGGGAGAGGGAUGCAGAAUUCCAGGUGUAGCGGUGAAAUGCGUAGAUAUCUGGAGGAACACCGGUGGCGAAGGCGCUCAUCUGGCCCAAUACUGACGCUGAAGCGCGAAAGCUAGGGGAGCAAACGGG
This 253-nucleotide ribosomal RNA is filed under the name uncultured bacterium. Its description in RNAcentral is "partial 16S ribosomal RNA". It matches the Rfam family "Bacterial small subunit ribosomal RNA", at positions 524 to 776 of the family's 1533-position model. The record is from RNAcentral.